AGGUCUUGACAUCUUCUGCCAAUCUUAGAGAUAAGACGUUCCCUUCGGGGACAGAAUGACAGGUGGUGCAUGGUUGUCGUCAGCUCGUGUCGUGAGAUGUUGGGUUAAGUCCCGCAACGAGCGCAACCCUUAUUAUCAGUUGCCAGCAUUCAGUUGGGCACUCUGGUGAGACUGCCGGUGACAAACCGGAGGAAGGUGGGGAUGACGUCAAAUCAUCAUGCCCCUUAUGACCUGGGCUACACACGUGCUACAAUGGACGGUACAACGAGUCGCGAAGUCGUGAGGCCAAGCUAAUCUCUUAAAGCCGUUCUCAGUUCGGAUUGUAGGCUGCAACUCGCCUACAUGAAGUUGGAAUCGCUAGUAAUCGCGGAUCAGCAUGCCGCGGUGAAUACGUUCCCGGGCCUU
RNAcentral lists this ribosomal RNA (405 nucleotides) under uncultured Lactobacillus sp. RNAcentral describes it as "bacterial SSU rRNA". It matches the Rfam family "Bacterial small subunit ribosomal RNA", at positions 976 to 1382 of the family's 1533-position model. The record is from RNAcentral. Lineage: Bacteria; Bacillati; Bacillota; Bacilli; Lactobacillales; Lactobacillaceae.